This is a long non-coding RNA of Biomphalaria glabrata, 582 nucleotides long. RefSeq lists it as uncharacterized. Lineage: Eukaryota; Metazoa; Mollusca; Gastropoda; Planorbidae. The transcript has 2 exons. The record is from RefSeq and is a predicted model, not a curated record.
AACAUCUCCUAAAAAUUAAAAAAAAAAAGCAUUGCCUACACAAAGGGAUAAUUUAAAGGUGGGUGGACAGUAAAUUUUAACACUUAUUUUGAUUUAUAUCUACAAUUAUCUUUACUGACACCUGAUACAUAAACCUAUUCCACCAACAGACACACACGCUUGCGAAAAGUAAAUAAUUUUCUAACAGCAAGAAGUAACAAAGUUCAGCAGGGUCAAGGUCAUAAAGAUAUCGUCGUCAAGUGCACGAACAUAUGUUGGUUGAAAGCCGCCAUAAACGAUCAAUCUAUUUUUAGACAGUAAAUUAUCACACAACUGUUUUUGCCCAAGUAAUACUCAGAUUUAGGACUGGUCAGUCAAAUCCAUUGACGGCAACAGUAGAAAUUAGACGUUUUAGUGUUCAGUUGAAGCUAGAAACAGAACAAGAUGAAGCUUCUAUUGAUACUCGCUCUAAUGACAACAGUAGCAGCAUUACCUAAUAGGGAGUGUCCGAUGUACAAGUGCGUCCCAUGUCCAGGUGGCUAUGAAGUGGACCAAGAUGGCUGCCAGACGUGCACGUGUAAAGAAGAGAAGAGGGCAGUGUGU